Long non-coding RNA from Physeter macrocephalus (sperm whale), 1934 nucleotides. RefSeq lists it as uncharacterized. The record is from RefSeq and is a predicted model, not a curated record. The transcript is spliced from 7 exons. Lineage: Eukaryota; Metazoa; Chordata; Mammalia; Artiodactyla; Physeteridae.
UGACACUGGGGAGUGGGUGAAACAUUGGUGACUGGUAGCCCUGCCUUCCACCACCUUAUCAAGUUUCGUUUCUUCUGCUGAUGGGCCCCACUGAUAGCAAACUGGGACGAAACUCUGAGCAUAGACUGCUUUUGCCAGGGACGUAUGGAAGAAAAUAAAUUUAUAGAAAUAAGGGUAUUUAUUUCACCAUAGAGAUAAUUCCCUCACUGACUACAACAACCAUAGAAAGGAGUAUUAUGCCCAAAUUACAAGAAAUGAUGAUGUGUAUCAGGUGAAUUUCGGGUUAAAGGCUGGGGGCAGGGCAGGAAUACAAAUGGCACUCAGUUUUUGCCAGGAUGGACCAGAGAUCAAAAUCUAUCCAGAGAACGCCUUUGCAGUUUUCUUCUUCCCACGAGGUGCCCAGUUCCUCAUAUAAAUGUCAACAUAAAGAAGAGAGAUGACUUUCCUAUGCAGCCCAUCCAAAUUACGCGGGCCUCUCACUGCCGUGGCUCUCCCGUCGCGGAGCACAGGCUCUGGACGCGCAGGCCCAGUGGCCAUGGCUCACGGGCCCAGCUGCUCUGCGGCAUGCGGGAUCCUCCCGGACUGGGGCACGAACCCGUGUCCCCUGCAUCGGCAGGCGGACUCCCAACCAGUGCGCCACCAGGGAAGCCCCCUCAGGAAAAUCUUGAUCAAAUGGAUUUUGAACAAGCCUGGAUCAGGGAGAGCUCUGUGUUGCUUCUGAAGGAAUCAAUGCCACAAUAUACAAUUUUACACACUUUACUGCAUUAAAUAGAUUCUGUGUUUUCUUAAAUAUACACUAGUUUUUAAGAUGUUUUCCAAUUAUGCAAUUAAAUGAAAUCAGAAAAAAAUCCUCAAACUAUAAUAUAUACUUUGCUUCAAAAUUAUAAUAUGUUAAAACAUCCUAAAACUUUGACCUACAUUUCUGUCACCAGUAAGAAACUCAGACUAUAUUGUGGAAAGUAUAUUUUCAUGUGAAAAUUAUAAUUACAUUAUUAGGUACUGUGAUGCCUACUGGAUUAAGCAAGUAAAUGCAUUUCAUAUAGGAGAAGAUUCAAUAAAACUUGGUGUGCCUAAGAAGUUAUUAGAUGUUUAUUGUAACAUGCCUUGUAAUAUAUUAGUUUUAUGCAGUUUUACAUUUUUAAAGUUUGCCAAUAAAAUAUGUACUGCAUAUAGAAUUUUAGACUCAAUUUAAAUUAUUGAGUGUAUUACUAUUCAUAGCCUUAAAAACAAACUUUACUUGAAAUUAACUGUUUAAAAAUAUAGCAUUUAAGUAGUAUUGUUAACUGUUUUAUCUCUAAAAUACAUAUUUUGCACUACUGAUAAAACUGCCUCUACUUUAAGUAUUGGAAAUACCAAAGCUGGGUGUCCAAAACUAGUUUAAUAUGCACAUAGAUAUUUGUGACUUCUUCAUGAGUAAGACUUCUUGACCUACAUCAGUAAGCUUUGAUUUGUUUUCUAGUCAUGGUUUAUAUAUAUAUGUUGAGUGAAUCUAUGAUUAACAUUUUAUUUCUCCACCUAUCAUUAACGAGUGCUUAUCUGUGAUAGACAUUGUAUUGCACAUGGAGGAAUAAGCAUAAAUGAGAUUACCAUUCCUGCUUUUAAAAGGCUUUCAGUCUUGCAUUUUUUUCCUUUAUGACCGCAUAAUGCAUUUGUAUCUCUGACUAAUUGUAACAUUUCAGCGUAUGGCCACAGAAUAAAGAAAAUUAACCAUAUAUGUCACUGAAGCUAUGGUUUUUAACGCAUUAGUAUCUUCAACAAACUGAGCAGCUAAAAAAUUAAGAGGUAUAGUUUAUCAUACAUUUCCAAAAUUUAAGUAAUUCUUCGAAUAUUUUAAUCAAAGGUGAACAUUUGAAACAAAGAAGUUUUAUGCAUCAAUGAUCAAUAUCCAUAUCAACAUGGUUUUAUAAUUUAUACUGUUUGGUGGAUAGCUGUGG